UACAGAGGGGGCAAGCGUUGUUCGGAAUUACUGGGCGUAAAGGGUGCGUAGGUGGCGUCUUAAGUCUGGUUUGAAAGCAGGCGGCUCAACCGUCUGAUGUGGCUGGAAACUGGGGUGCUUGAAUGCGUUGGCGGUAGCCGGAACGGGUCAUGUAGCGGUGAAAUGCAUAGAUAUGACCCAGAACACCGAUUGCGAAGGCAGGCUACUACGACGUGAUUGACACUGAGGCACGAGAGCAUGGGUAGCGAACAGG
This 253-nucleotide ribosomal RNA is filed under the name uncultured bacterium. RNAcentral's name for it is "partial 16S ribosomal RNA". It matches the Rfam family "Bacterial small subunit ribosomal RNA", at positions 524 to 776 of the family's 1533-position model. The record is from RNAcentral.